UUUCCGUAGGUGAACCAGCGGAAGGAUCAUUACUGAGUACUAUAACUCAUAACCCUUUGUGUACCUUUAUACCUGUUGCUUCGUCGGCGCGCCUCCCUGGCCUUGCCCCCCCCCAUUAUCAGAAACCCUGUUCGAUCCCCACGUGACAUCUAAGUGUUCUAAGCUAAUUGUUAAAACAAUCAACAACGGCUCUCUUGGAUCCAGCAUCGAUGAUGAAGGACGCAGAUCGGAAGAGCACACGACUGAACUACACCCACAUAGGUUCAUCUCUUAUGACGC
Molecule: unclassified non-coding RNA, 279 nt
Filed under: plant metagenome
Description: partial contains small subunit ribosomal RNA, internal transcribed spacer 1, and 5.8S ribosomal RNA
Source: RNAcentral